This is a long non-coding RNA of Carassius gibelio (silver crucian carp), 918 nucleotides long. RefSeq lists it as uncharacterized. NCBI's taxonomy places the organism in Eukaryota, Metazoa, Chordata, Actinopteri, Cypriniformes, Cyprinidae. The transcript has 4 exons. The record is from RefSeq and is a predicted model, not a curated record.
UCUUGUGAAUGCAGUUUGCAUGAAUUAUUGAUGUUAUAAUAUUAAGUAUAUUAUUGAGAAUUGUUUUAUGUGAAGAGAUAUGAUAAAGAUAAUAUUUCAAUUUGCACACAGUUUUUAUAUUAUAUAUUUUAAGUCAUAAAAGUAAAAUGACAAUACGGAAAAGACGUGUGCAAUUAAGCCUGCAAAGAAUGCUGUCUAUCCACUGGUGAAAACAGAAAAUAAAUAUGCUGUCUAUCCUUAUGUGAAACUAUAAAAUAAAUAUAUGUCUAUCCAGAGGUGAAAAUAUAAAAUAAAUAUGCUGUCUAUCCAGAGGUGAAAAUAUAAAAUAAAUAUGCUGUCUAUCCAGAGGUGAAAAUAUAAAAUAAAUAUACUGUCCAUCCAGAGGUGAAAAUAUAAAAUAAAUAUGCUGUCUAUCCAGAGGUGAAAAUAUAAAAUAAAUAUAUCUCAAUCCAGAGGUGAAAAUAUAAAAUAAAUAUACUGUCCAUCCAGAGGUGAAAAUAUAAAAUAAAUGUCUAUCCAGAGGUGAGAACUAAAUAUACUGUCCAUCCAGAGGUGAGAACUAAAUAUACUGUCCAUCCAGAGGUGAGAACUAAAUAUGUUGUCUAUCCAGAGGUGAGAACUAAAUAUACUGUCCAUCCAGAGGUGAGAACUAAAUAUGCUGUCUAUCCAGAGGUGAGAACUAAAUAUGCUGUCUAUCCAGAGGUGAGAACUAAAUAUGCUGUCUAUCCAGAGGUGAGAACUAAAUAUGCUGUCUAUCCAGAGGUGAGAACUAAAUAUCUGUCUAUCCAGAGGUGAAAAUAUAAAAUAAAUAUAUCUCAAUCCAGAGGUGAAAAUAAGAAAUAAAAUUGCUGUCCAUCGAGUGGUGAAAACGGAAAUUAGUGGCGAAACGGAAAUGACGUAGGCGGUCUAUCCACUGGU